ACACAAUAAGCAUUCCACCUGGGGAGUACGGCCGCAAGGUUGAAACUCAAAGGAAUUGACGGGAGCCCGCACAAGCAGUGGAGUAUGUGGUUUAAUUCGAAGCAACGCGAAGAACCUUACCAGGGCUUGACAUCCACAGAAGGCCGAGUAAAUUUGGCUGUGCCCUUCGGGGAACUGUGAGACAGGUGGUGCAUGGUUGUCGUCAGCUCGUGUCGUGAGAUGUUGGGUUAAGUCCCGCAACGAGCGCAACCCUUACUGUUAGUUGCUACGGAAGAGCACUCUAACAGGACUGCCGUUGACAAAACGGAGGAAGGUGGGGAUGACGUCAAAUCGUCAUGCCCCUUACGCUCUGGGCUACACACGUACUACAAUGGCGUAAACAGAGGGGAGCAAGGCCGCGAGGCGGAGCAAAUCCCAAAAAUACGUCCCA
Molecule: ribosomal RNA, 430 nt
Filed under: uncultured bacterium
Lineage: Bacteria
Description: bacterial SSU rRNA
Rfam family: Bacterial small subunit ribosomal RNA
Source: RNAcentral